AUAAGACAUUUAUCUUAGGAUAGAAAUCAUCCUACACAGUUUUUCAAUAGGAACAUAAAUUCUCUGCAAAUCAACAUCAUAUUAACCCAUUUGAGGGAUUAAAGCUUUAAAUUAAAUUACUUAUUUUACCUGUUUAUAUUUUAAUACAGGAAAUAUUGUUACACACAUUUUUUUAAUAGGUAAGAAGAAAAAUGAAGGUAUGGUAUAAUUUACCAGUAUAAUUGCCCAUUGUCAUGCUGUACUCUAUCAAUGGAACUACAAAACACAGUGUAAAUAUAUAGUCUCCUUCUAUGAACUAGAUGCUAUGAAAUCAUGGAAUAAAAACAACAAAAAACACAACAAAAGAUUUUCAAAGAAAAGAAAAUAGAAAUAAUUACAUUAAAUAAGAAAGAAAUAAGUUAUUGCUAUUGACAAAGUAUUAGUAACUUUGUCUCAGAUACAUUCAUGAUGAUCAGGUCCAGAACCUGUUCACUGUGUUUUAAAGCUGUACAAACCAACAGGUACCUUAAUUGCCACUGAGCUAUUUUUCUUUAGGUAUUGUCUCUUGAGUAAAUGUUACCUUCAAAGUUAUAAUACUUACAGACCAGUUGAUUGGGAAUCAUGUAACUGUUGAGGAAGAAAACUAGUCACUUCUUUUG
This 638-nucleotide long non-coding RNA is filed under the name Bos taurus (domestic cattle). RNAcentral describes it as "long non-coding RNA NONBTAT026600". Lineage: Eukaryota; Metazoa; Chordata; Mammalia; Artiodactyla; Bovidae. The record is from RNAcentral.